Gallus gallus (chicken) is the source of this 2207-nucleotide long non-coding RNA. Lineage: Eukaryota; Metazoa; Chordata; Aves; Galliformes; Phasianidae. The record is from Ensembl.
UUCUUGCUGGAGAUUACUGCUUACCUGUGGCCCUCUGAGGAAGCUUGGACAUGCGGACAGCUAUAAUUGCACUUGUGCUUAAAGACAACAAACAACACAGAUAUGAAAAAAAGCAAAAUGCCACUGAAUGACCUUGGAGAGAAAUGCCUGGGGCACAGUGCUGCAGCAACUGACAUCAUUAACUGUGACUCUUAUGCUUGGGUCCUGGUAUAAUCAGACUUCAGAGGAAUGCUUCACAGGCAGCACCUUAUCAGUCGGUCUCAUGCACUCAUUAUGAUGCUCUGUCUUUUCUUGAGAGAACAGGGAAGAUGUACCUUGAGGCAUAUCAAGCAGUGUAGCUGGAGGUAUUAGGAAAUCUUGACAGAGUAAGACAGUGUAUUAAGAGCUUUUGGUCUGAUGAUCCUCUUAAAAAUGAGACUUCAGAACACCUAUUGCAUAGCAUGAUUCAUCUAAGACAUCAAAUAACAUGUUCUUAGCCUUUGACUUCAGUCUUAUUAAUGUUACAUUUCAAAUGAAAAAUAAAAUUAGUUAUAGCUUUUAAAAUGCAUAAUGAAUUUUGCUGUAAUCUUUUUGCAUAUUUGUCUUGUGAAAAGAUUGAUUCCUGUAAUCAAUCACUGAAUCAGUGAAUUGGAGCCUGAGUGAAGUCACUUCUAGGAUAACAUAUUAAAAACUAUGUCAACUUGUACUUUCCACGCUGAAAAAUAAUUGAUGCAAGUCAAUUUUUACAUCAGUCAUUUUUAAAGAUUGGCUGGGAUCCAUUUUCUAUAUGUGCUGGUACUUUAUGGCAAAAAUGUUCUCUUUCAUAGUAUUAUCUUAUGAAUCUCUGGCACGUUAAAUUCUCAUUGCAUAUUCUUGUGAGUAUUUUCUCUUGAGAUUAGGCAGACUUUCUCAAGUUCUCAAGCUUAAGAGGUCUCAGAUAUGGCUUAUCCUUGCACUUUUUUCUUUGGUUUCUUGCAUUCCAGACCCAGGAAGAUACAACUGUAGAAUUUUGGUUGAUAUUCCUAGAGGGUACAGAGCUAUUUCAUCUACUUUUUCCAUUAUGCUAUCUUUCAAAUGUUCCUGCAGACUAAUAACUGACCGCUUUCCAUUUGUGUUUAGCAGUAUCUAGAUAAUAUUAUGUGAUAUUUUGUGUAGUAGAAAUGUUUUCAAUUUUGUUUGAAUACGAAGUCUGGAUACAUAAGCAACUGUACUGUGAAAGUAUGUGAGUGCAAGUUAUUAUUUGUCUUGAAAAAUACAUGUGUUUGGUCCCUGAAAGGCAACUAACAGGAAGAUCAUGUGGUAGUGGUUGGUAUGUAUUUCAAUGUAAGGGAAAUAACCUUUUGCAAUUUUAAUAAAUGCUCUGUAUGCUUACUAUGAUUUUCUGACCUAUAAUGCCAAAUAUGCAGAUGACACCAUUAAAUUAUGCAUUUCUGCUUUUUUACAGUAUUUGCUUCAUUUUCCCUGUGUCCAGAUUUUUACAACAUCUGGCAUAUUUAUAGCAAUUAGCUCUGGACAGGCUGUACUGCUGUCAUUCUCAAUUGCAAAGUUCGAGAACAUACACUAAUUAUGAUUAGAAAUGAUGUAGUCAAUGAGUAAAUAGUUUAUCUUAGUCCCUUGAACUGUAGAGCUAUCAAACUUGACAGGUAUGACUGAUUAAAUGCUGUUUUCUUGGAUUAAAACUAAACCUGCUGUAAACUUAGAAUUUAGGUAGGCAAAAAAGUGAAACAGUGUAAGACUUGUUCAGUAUGACUUUUUUGCUUUGGAUAAAACAUCUGUAUACUGACUAAGGAAUCUUUUAUAAAAGUAAUCAUGAAUAAGCCAUGGACUGACUUGUAGAACAAUUGUAAUCAUGAAAUAAUUGGAACCAUUAUAUAAAUUAAGGCUACUUUGCUGAAAAUAAGCGGAUUGUUGGUUUGGCACAUUCUUGCUGAUAUAUAUAAAGGUCAAUGUCAACAUCACUUUGUAGUUAAUUCGCUUGUCAGCCUUUAUUCUCAAAUUUAAUAAUAUUGCAAUGGGUGGUUCUGUAAAAACAUUUCAUAUAUUUUUUUAUGACAUAGAAAAGAUCAUCAAGUAUUUAGCAUAUUGAUUACCCCAAUUCAAAUGUUCAUCAUUGGCUUAGUUUCUUGACAGAUAAGCUUGAGUUGUGCAAGAGCACUCAUGUUCAUACCGUAUCAAGUAGCUGCUCUAAUGCAGACUUCCUGCAUUUUACAGAAGGUCUAGCAGUGAAG